Molecule: ribosomal RNA, 253 nt
Filed under: uncultured bacterium
Lineage: Bacteria
Description: partial 16S ribosomal RNA
Rfam family: Bacterial small subunit ribosomal RNA
Source: RNAcentral
UACGGAGGGUGCAAGCGUUAUCCGGAUUCACUGGGUUUAAAGGGUGCGUAGGUGGGCAAGUAAGUCAGUGGUGAAAUCUCCGGGCUUAACCCGGAAACUGCCAUUGAUACUAUUUGUCUUGAAUAUUGUGGAGGUAAGCGGAAUAUGUCAUGUAGCGGUGAAAUGCUUAGAUAUGACAUAGAACACCAAUUGCGAAGGCAGCUUACUACACAGUUAUUGACGCUGAGGCACGAAAGCGUGGGGAUCAAACAGG